AGCGAACGCUGGCGGCAGGCCUAACACAUGCAAGUCGAACGAACCUUUCGGGGUUAGUGGCGGACGGGUGAGUAACACGUGGGAACGUGCCUUUAGGUUCGGAAUAACUCAGGGAAACUUGUGCUAAUACCGAAUGUGCCCUUCGGGGGAAAGAUUAAUCGCCUUUAGAGCGGCCCGCGUAUGAUUAGCUAGUUGGUUGAGGUAAUGGCUCACCAAGGCGACGAUCAGUAGCUGGUCUGAGAGGAUGAUCAGCCACAUUGGGACUGAGACACGGCCCAAACUCCUACGGGAGGCAGCAGUGGGGAAUCUUGCGCAAUGGGCGAAAGCCUGACGCAGCCAUGCCGCGUGAAUGAUGAAGGUCUUAGGAUUGUAAAAUUCUUUCACCGGGGACGAUAAUGACGGUAACCGGAGAAGAAGCCCCGGCUAACUUCGUG
Molecule: ribosomal RNA, 434 nt
Filed under: uncultured bacterium
Lineage: Bacteria
Description: partial 16S ribosomal RNA
Rfam family: Bacterial small subunit ribosomal RNA
Source: RNAcentral